GCGCUCGUAGCUCAAUUGGAUAGAGCAUCAGACUUCGGAUCUGAGGGUUGUAGGUUCGACUCCUAUCGAGCGUACCA
This 77-nucleotide transfer RNA is filed under the name Campylobacteraceae bacterium. RNAcentral describes it as "tRNA-Arg". It matches the Rfam family "tRNA". Rfam says of the family: Transfer RNA (tRNA) molecules are approximately 80 nucleotides in length. The record is from RNAcentral. Lineage: Bacteria; Pseudomonadati; Campylobacterota; Epsilonproteobacteria; Campylobacterales; Campylobacteraceae.